This is a long non-coding RNA of Octopus sinensis (East Asian common octopus), 89 nucleotides long. RefSeq lists it as uncharacterized. NCBI's taxonomy places the organism in Eukaryota, Metazoa, Mollusca, Cephalopoda, Octopoda, Octopodidae. The record is from RefSeq and is a predicted model, not a curated record. The transcript is spliced from 3 exons.
UAUGUAUUUUCUAUAGGAGCAUGCGAAACGGCUACCACAUCCAAGGAAGGCAGCAGGCGCGCAAAUUACCCACUCCCUGCACGGAGAAG